RNAcentral lists this ribosomal RNA (406 nucleotides) under uncultured bacterium. RNAcentral describes it as "partial 16S ribosomal RNA". It matches the Rfam family "Bacterial small subunit ribosomal RNA", at positions 29 to 526 of the family's 1533-position model. The record is from RNAcentral.
AUUGAACGCUGGCGGCAGGCCUAACACAUGCAAGUCGAACGAGUGGCGGACGGGUGAGUAAUGUCUGGGAAACUGCCUGAUGGAGGGGGCUAACUACUGGAAACGGUAGCUAAUACCGCAUACCAUCGGAUGUGCCCAGAUGGGAUUGGCUAGUAGGUGGGGUAAAGGCUCACCUAGGCGACGAUCCCUAGCUGGUCUGAGAGGAUGACCAGCACCACUGGAACGUGGACACGGUCCAGAGUCCGACGGGAGGCAGCAGUGGGGAAUAUUGCACAAUGGGUGCAAGCCUGAUGCAGCCAAGCGGGGUGUAUGAAGAAGGCCUUCGGGUUGUAAAGUACUUUCAGCGGGGAGGCGUGACCCGCAGAAGAAGCACCGGCUAACUCCGUGCCAGCAGCCGCGGUAAUUC